UGGGGAAUAUUGCACAAUGGGCGCAAGCCUGAUGCAGCGACGCCGCGUGAGGGAUGGAGGCCUUCGGGUUGUAAACCUCUUUCGCCAGUGAAGCAGGCCAUCUUCUUUGUGGGGUGGUUGACGGUAGCUGGUUAAGAAGCGCCGGCUAACUACGUGCCAGCAGCCGCGGUAAUACGUAGGGCGCGAGCGUUGUCCGGAAUUAUUGGGCGUAAAGAGCUCGUAGGCGGCUGGUCGCGUCUGUCGUGAAAUCCCCUGGCUUAACUGGGGGCUUGCGGUGGGUACGGGCCGGCUUGAGUGCGGUAGGGGAGACUGGAAUUCCUGGUGUAGCGGUGGAAUGCGCAGAUAUCAGGAGGAACACCGGUGGCGAAGGCGGGUCUCUGGGCCGUUACUGACGCUGAGGAGCGAAAGCGUGGGGAGCGAACAGG
RNAcentral lists this ribosomal RNA (425 nucleotides) under bacterium. RNAcentral describes it as "partial 16S ribosomal RNA". It matches the Rfam family "Bacterial small subunit ribosomal RNA", at positions 355 to 776 of the family's 1533-position model. The record is from RNAcentral.